AUGUAUAAUUUGAAGUGUUAAUGAUCUAUUUUUAUUGUUAUAGACCCCGAGGAACAAGUUCCAGAGGUCGAUCAAGGAAAAUGAAAGGUUUCGAAAUAACCGAAACACAACACCGAAACGGAUACCAGAGCUCGAGGACUCAUAAAGAUUGGAAGACGGUUGGAGAGUCAGCAUACUAUCAAAUAGACCAGCUUUGGUAUAAAGGAAUGUAUAGGUCUUUUGAGUAUUUUUUUAUAUGUGUCAUUUGAUUUGCCAAAUGAAGGCUUGUAAAGAUAAACCUAUCUUUUUGUUUAUGGCCAUAGAGAUCGGCUUGUUUUGAAGUAGGCUAUGACCUACAAAA
Long non-coding RNA from Gossypium arboreum, 340 nucleotides. RefSeq lists it as uncharacterized. Lineage: Eukaryota; Viridiplantae; Streptophyta; Magnoliopsida; Malvales; Malvaceae. The record is from RefSeq and is a predicted model, not a curated record. The transcript is spliced from 2 exons.